CGGACGUAGCCAAGUGGAUUAAGGCGGUCGAUUGUGGAUCCUCAAUGCGCGGGUUCAAUUCCCGUCGUUCGCC
RNAcentral lists this transfer RNA (73 nucleotides) under Haplomitrium blumei. RNAcentral's name for it is "tRNA-His". It matches the Rfam family "tRNA". From Rfam's summary of the family: Transfer RNA (tRNA) molecules are approximately 80 nucleotides in length. Their secondary structure includes four short double-helical elements and three loops (D, anti-codon, and T loops). Lineage: Eukaryota; Viridiplantae; Streptophyta; Haplomitriopsida; Calobryales; Haplomitriaceae. The record is from RNAcentral.